UGUGGGCAAGUUAUUAAGGGCACAUGGUGGAUGCCUUGGCAUCGAGAGCCGAUGAAGGACGUGGGAGCCUGCGAAAUGCCCUGGGGAGUUGGCAACCGAGCGUUGAUCCGGGGAUGUCCGAAUGGGGAAACCCAGCUGGAGUUAUGUCCAGUUACCUGCACCUGAAUGAAAUAGGGUGUGUGGAGGGAACGUGGGGAAGUGAAACAUCUCAGUACCCACAGGAAGAGAAAACAACCGUGAUUCCGAGAGUAGUGGCGAGCGAAAUCGGAUGAGGCUAAACCUACUUCGUGUGAUACCCGGCAGGGGUUGCGGAGUGGGGGUCGUGGGAGUGUCGUUGCUGCAUCUGCCGGUGUGGCGCACAGUCAGAAACCGUAUGUGAGGUCGAAGUCCGUUGGAAAGCGGUGCCGGAGCGGGUGAUAGCCCCGUAGACGACAAUGUGCGGCUGUGUUCGACACCUCCCAAGUAACACGCCACUCCUGGAAUGGUGUGUGAAUCUGGCGGGACCACCCGUUAAGCCUAAAUACUCCUCGAUGACCGAUAGCGGACCAGUACCGUGAGGGAAAGGUGAAAAGUACCCCUGGCGGGGAGUGAAAUAGUACCUGAAACCAUGUGCCUACAAUCCGUUGGAGCUCACCUUGUGUGGGUGACAGCGUGCCUUUUGAAGAAUGAGCCUGCGAGUUUGCGUUGUGUGGCGAGGUUAACCCGUGUGGGGAAGCCGUAGCGAAAGCGAGUCCUAAUAGGGCGGUUGAGUCGCACGAUCAAGACCCGAAGCGGAGUGAUCUAUCCAUGGGCAGGUUGAAGCGCCGGUAAGACGGCGUGGAGGACCGAACCCACUUCAGUUGAAAAUGGAGGGGAUGACCUGUGGAUAGGGGUGAAAGGCCAAUCAAACUCCGUGAUAGCUGGUUCU
This is a ribosomal RNA of 907 nucleotides. It matches the Rfam family "Bacterial large subunit ribosomal RNA", at positions 1 to 856 of the family's 2925-position model.